Molecule: transfer RNA, 87 nt
Filed under: Pseudonocardia halophobica
Lineage: Bacteria; Bacillati; Actinomycetota; Actinomycetes; Pseudonocardiales; Pseudonocardiaceae
Description: tRNA-Gln
Source: RNAcentral
GCCCGGGAUAAACGACGGAGCCGACGUCCUUGCCGCUUUGGCCGACGAAACCGGGCAGCCCGCGCCGUUCGAGACGCUGACCGUGCA